RNAcentral lists this long non-coding RNA (576 nucleotides) under Malus domestica (apple). RNAcentral's name for it is "long non-coding RNA (MDOM_LNC000399)". Lineage: Eukaryota; Viridiplantae; Streptophyta; Magnoliopsida; Rosales; Rosaceae. The record is from RNAcentral.
AUCAAUUAUGGAUAGAUCUUACAUGUAGGACAUAAAAGGAUACAAUGAAUCUUUAGAUUUGGUUCCAAUUGUCUACCUAUGAGUUCUAUAUGAAUUGACAAAGGUCUAGAGAUUCCUUUCUUAAAGAAAAGGAAGAUCACAUUAUAAUGAUAUAAGUAAUAAGAAAAACGUUUCUUAUAUGAUUAUCACUUAAACCACAAUAAUCAAGAUCACUCUUGAUUCAAUUAGUAGUUUGAACAACUAAUUGGGCAUUCUUUAAAUUGUUUUAAAAUGUCAAUUGUGUUAGUGAUUAAACCAAGAAAGAAGUGUCUAAAUCUAUAAAAUGUUUAAAUACUUUAGUCACUUAAUAACGAGACAUUAACUUAGUGAAGAUUGAAACAAAUGAGCUUGAAAGGUUUUAAAGCUACUACACAAUGUCCUCUACCCGUAUACUCCACGUUUAUACAUUUUGAAUGUAUGAAGUGAUUUCUCAUUAAAGUCAUGAGAAAUAGUGGGAGGUGUGAAAAUGGAUAUAAACUUAAAUAUGAUUGGUUUAUAGUUGUCUAAAGAAUAAUAGUACUUGACUAUUAUUAAGAG